GGGGGUUUAGCUCAGUUGGAACGAGCGACUGGUUUGCAACCAGUAGGUCAAGGGUUCGAGCCCCUUAACCUCCACAA
Molecule: transfer RNA, 77 nt
Filed under: Aeromonas phage PX29
Lineage: Duplodnaviria; Heunggongvirae; Uroviricota; Caudoviricetes; Pantevenvirales; Straboviridae
Description: tRNA-Ala
Rfam family: tRNA
About the family: Transfer RNA (tRNA) molecules are approximately 80 nucleotides in length.
Source: RNAcentral